Molecule: ribosomal RNA, 116 nt
Filed under: Acaulospora sp. WUM18
Lineage: Eukaryota; Fungi; Glomeromycota; Glomeromycetes; Diversisporales; Acaulosporaceae
Source: RNAcentral
CAGUCAUGCUAGUGAGGAAUCAACCUGAUGGUGUGUGGGUUCUCCCUCGUACUUUCCGGUGAAACUUCCUCACCCGGCAGGUUAGCCAUCAAUUUCGGUAUCAUAAAAAAUUUGAG